This 497-nucleotide ribosomal RNA is filed under the name uncultured bacterium. Its description in RNAcentral is "partial 16S ribosomal RNA". It matches the Rfam family "Bacterial small subunit ribosomal RNA", at positions 28 to 507 of the family's 1533-position model. The record is from RNAcentral.
GAUGAACGCUGGCGGCGUGCCUAAUACAUGCAAGUCGAGCGGAAGGACGCGAAUCUUGCUUCUCUGAUGUUAGCGGCGGGCGGGUGAGUAACACGUGGAUAACCUCCCUAUCAUACUGGGAUAACUUCGGGAAACCGGCGCUAAUACCGGAUAAUAUUUUGCACCGCAUGGUUCAAAAGUGAAAGACGGUCUUUCUGUCACUUAUCGAUGGAUCCCCGCUGCAUUAGCUAGUUGGGAAGGUAACGGCUUAUCAAGGCAACGAUGCAUAGCCGAAGUGAGAGGGGGAUAGGCCACACUGGAACGGAGACGCGGUCCAGACGACUACGGGAGGCAGCAGUAUGGAAUCGGACGCAAUGGGCGAGAGCCUGACGGAGCAACGCCGCGUGAGUUAUGAAGGUGCUCGGAUCGGGAUACUGUGCUAUUAGUGAAGAACAUAUGUGGAAGGAACUGUGCACAUCUUGACGGUACCGAAUCAGAAAGCCACGGCUAACUACGUG